RNAcentral lists this ribosomal RNA (777 nucleotides) under uncultured bacterium. RNAcentral's name for it is "bacterial SSU rRNA". It matches the Rfam family "Bacterial small subunit ribosomal RNA", at positions 8 to 796 of the family's 1533-position model. The record is from RNAcentral.
AGAGUUUGAUCAUGGCUCAGGACGAACGCUGGCGGCGNUAACACAUGCAAGUCGAACGAGGUCCAAGGAGUAGCAAUACUCCUGAAGACUUAGUGGCGAACGGGUGAGUAACACGUGAGCAACCUGCCCCGAAGACCGGGAUAACAGCGGGAAACCGCUGCUAAUACCGGAUGUCCCCAUCGGACCACAUGGCCUGAUGAGGAAAUGGAUUCCGCUUCGGGAGGGGCUCGCGGCCUAUCAGCUUGUUGGUGGGGUAACGGCCCACCAAGGCGACGACGGGUAGCUGGUCUGAGAGGACGAUCAGCCACACUGGGACUGAGACACGGCCCAGACUCCUACGGGAGGCAGCAGUGGGGAAUAUUGCGCAAUGGGCGAAAGCCUGACGCAGCAACGCCGCGUGAGGGAUGAAGGCCUUCGGGUUGUAAACCUCUUUCGAGCAGGGACGAUAAUGACGGUACCUGCAGAAGAAGCUCCGGCCAACUACGUGCCAGCAGCCGCGGUAAUACGUAGGGAGCGAGCGUUGUCCGGAUUCAUUGGGCGUAAAGAGCUCGUAGGCGGCUUGAUAAGUCGGAUGUGAAACCUCCAGGCUUAACCUGGAGUCGCCAUCCGAUACUGUCAUGGCUAGAGUCCGGUAGGGGCCCACGGAACUCCUGGUGUAGCGGUGAAAUGCGCAGAUAUCAGGAAGAACACCGGUGGCGAAGGCGGUGGGCUGGGCCGGCACUGACGCUGAGGAGCGAAAGCGUGGGGAGCGAACAGGAUUAGAUACCCCCGUAGUCC